Molecule: long non-coding RNA, 1675 nt
Organism: Macaca mulatta (Rhesus monkey)
Lineage: Eukaryota; Metazoa; Chordata; Mammalia; Primates; Cercopithecidae
Source: Ensembl
UUUCAGCUCAUUUCUUUAAUAAGGAGACGCAGCUCAUUACAAAAUAACAAUUUGACAAGAGAUCAGACAAGAACAAGAGUCCACAUAAGGGAGAUGGAGAGCAUUGCCAAGCAGAGGUGGGGAAUGGGCCGGGGGCCGGGCUGUACAUGUGUCCUUCCUAUGGAGACAAAGGCAGGGCUCCUGGUGGGCUGACCUGGAGGAAGCUAGGCUCUGCCAGGCCCUGAUUUUGAAGUUUUCAGCCCCAGGGUUUUCAGAAAGCAACAAAUCAAGUCCUUAGAUGGGCAGGAGUCAGGGCAGAAAGGUCAGCAUCUUUGAAGAGGCCCCACUACAGUCCUGAUCGCUAAGGCAGACAUGCAUCUUGAUUAAACAAGAUUCUGUUCAUAUGUUUCUAGGUAAUUAUCUUCUUUUAUAUAUAAUUAAAUAUACAUGGAUGGGGGCAGAUGAGGCUCAAAUGGCUUCAGAAGGUUCUUAUUUUGUUGUUGCUUAAAAAAUAAAGUAAUUCAUGUGUCUUCAAGUCACAGUGUCCCCUUCUCAAUAUUGCAGUUCAAAAAACUGGUUAAGUCAAAUCCUUGGGGUUCCUGGCCCCCUGGGACCAAAGGGAGAGGGGAAAAGUCAUAGGGCAGGGUUCCCAGACACAAUGCAGGAUGGCCAGUUACAUUUGAAUUUCAGAUAAACAACGAAUUAUUUUUUAGUAUAAUAUGUCCCAACUAUUGCCUAGGACAUACUUACACUUAAAAAUUGUUUGUUGUUGAACUGAAAUUCAAAUGUAACUGGGCAUCCAUAUUUUUAUUUGGCAACCACAGAAUGGGGCUCUGGGCCACCAGGAUCUUGGGACUCCUCCCUGCCUGCCACCACCCAGGGCUCCGAGAAAGGGCCCCAAACAGCUUUAAGUGGGAGGGGCAGAGGAAAGGGAAGGGAAGAGGCAGAGCAGAGGAUAUGAGGGCAGUUCCUGGCUCAAUCUCUUUGUACCUUUGAGUGGGAGGGGAUGCCCUCAGGAACAGGCAUUUUCUCUAUGAGGUUGGGUGAGACCCAGGACUCAGAUGCCUUAUGAAUUAACCUAGGACAUUAAGGGAACAUGGAAACUGUCACUCCCCAAACCCAGGGAGGUUCAUCAACCUCUUUGCUAUCACCCCCCCUUACCCCCCCACCCCACUGCAUGGAGGCAGGUUUAUAAGAGAGCUGCUUUUACCCACAGGAGGGCUGUAGCGACCCCUCUUCUCCCUCUCGCUGAAGCCUUGGGCCAGCAAAAUCAUCCCAUACUGAUUCCGCAGAGACACAAGUUAUGUAUGCUUUCCUAGGAAGAAAGAUCAGGAUCUGAGACUGUGGCCUAAUCCCUGCUGUCUCAUCCUCCAGCUGAGGGACUCCAGGAAAGUCACUUCUCAUUCAUGCCGAGCACCUGCCUACUGUCUGGGAUUGCCCCAGCAUUCCUUACCCAGCCUUCCCCAGGCCUCAGCUUCCACUUCCAAAGUCCAAAAACCUGUCUGUAGCUCUGACAGAAUUAGCAUCCCUUCUGGAACAAUUAUUCAGGGAGGAAGAAGAAAACAAGCUUUCAGACCUUAUCCCAGUUUCUGGGUGGGAUUAGGCUUGGAUUUUCAUGGUCUCAGCUUCUCUAAAAAUCACCUCUAUACUACUUUCCUUUCUCUGGAACAGACUUUGAGAUGAAAACUUAUAGCCC